GUGAGUGAGGGUGAUCUGGCUGUGACAUCUGUCACCCCAUUGAUUGCCAGGGUUGAUUUGGCUGAUCUGGCUGUCUAGGCUGGUGUCCCCUUCCUCCCUCACCACUCCAUGUGCGUCCCUCCCAAGCUGUGUGCUCAGUCGAAGAGGACAGCCUUCCCGAUAUAGAGACAGAUCAGUCUUUGGUCAAGGGUAUACAAGUAGCUGUGCUCCCCCACUAGAACCUCCAAACAAGCUCUCAAGCAAUAAAGAGAUAGUUAACAAAAGAGAAAAAUCUGGCC
Molecule: unclassified non-coding RNA, 278 nt
Organism: Erinaceus europaeus (western European hedgehog)
Lineage: Eukaryota; Metazoa; Chordata; Mammalia; Eulipotyphla; Erinaceidae
Gene: 7SK
Rfam family: 7SK RNA
About the family: 7SK was discovered as an abundant small nuclear RNA in the mid-70s but a possible function has only recently been suggested. Two independent studies have found that 7SK RNA binds the CDK9/cyclin T complex (known as elongation factor P-TEFb).
Source: Ensembl